RNAcentral lists this non-coding RNA (770 nucleotides) under Lethe oculatissima. Lineage: Eukaryota; Metazoa; Arthropoda; Insecta; Lepidoptera; Nymphalidae. The record is from RNAcentral.
AAAUUUUUAUGUUUUAAAAAAUUUAUUAUAAAUUUAUUUUACAUAUAAAUUUUAGUAUGAAAUUUUAAUUAUUUAAAUAAUAAUUAAUUACGUAAUAUAGUAAUUGAAAUUAAAAAUUUAAGAAAUUAAGAUUUAGUAAUAUAAAAAUUAAUAACUAAUUUUGUGCCAGCAGUUGCGGUUAUACAAAAAUUAAAUUAAAUUAUUUCAGUAUUUAAUAAAUAAAAUAUAAUUAAAAUAAAUAUUAAAUUAUUAGGUGAAAUUUUAAUUUAAUUAAAUUUUAAGUUACUUUUAUGGUUUAAUAAAUUUAAUAAUAAACUAGGAUUAGAUACCCUAUUAUUAAAAAUUUAAUUAAUAAUGCUAAAAUAGUAGGUAAUAAAUAUUGAAACUUAAAUAAUAUGGCGGUAUUUUAGUUCAUUUAGAGGAAUCUGUUUAAUAAUUGAUAAUCCGCGAAUAAAUUUACUUAAUUUAAUAUUUUAUAUAUCGUUGUUAGAAAAAUAUUUUAUAAUAAAAAUAAUAUUUUAAAAUUUAAAAAAUAAAUUAAUUCAGAUCAAGAUGUAGAUUAUAAUUAAGAAUAUAAUGGAUUACAAUAAAAUAAUUUAAAAUGGAUAAUUAAUUUUAAAAUUAAUUUAAAAGUGGAUUUAAAUGUAAUUUUAAUUAAUUUAUUAAAAUGAUUAAAAAUUGAAAUAUGUACAUAUUGCCCGUCACUUUCAUUUUAAAAUUGGAAUAAGUCGUAACAAAGUAGAAGUACUGGAAAGUGUUUCUAGAAUGAA